This is a long non-coding RNA of Gasterosteus aculeatus aculeatus (three-spined stickleback), 1175 nucleotides long. Lineage: Eukaryota; Metazoa; Chordata; Actinopteri; Perciformes; Gasterosteidae. The record is from Ensembl.
UGCGCGGCCAAAGCGACCUCCCCCGGCCUCAGCUUUCACUUUCACAAAGACGGCGCCUCAUCGCCAACAGCUCCGCGGAAGAGCUGACCCUCCCCCGAGCCUCGCGGUCCGACCAGAGACUUCUACGCCUGCAGCGUCCCCGAGAGAGAGAGACCAGUCCCUGGCCAGCUGGCUCGAUGUCGAAGAGUGAGAAGAACUGUCGACAGUCCACUGAGAGGACGUCUGAGAGAGACAGAUGUACCCCAACGUGACACACAACGCCGGUCACCAACUUAUCUCCGCAGGUUCCCUGCUGCCUCCGUCCUCGCUGCCUCCACCCUCGCUGCCUCCAUCCUCGCUGCCUCCACCCUCGCUGCCUCCGUCCUCGCUGCCUCCACCUGCAGCCUCCUGGUCAGUGUCGGUCCCCCGGCUGGUGGUGCACCUGUUGGUGGGAGCCCCUUACCUGCUGUCCACCAUCUUACUGGGCCUCGUUUGCAGGGACAAGAACAGAGCAGCUCGGACGGCAGCGCAGAGAAGAGGAAGCAACGUCAUCAUGGAAACAGUUGCAUAGACCCUCAAACUGGUCAAACUGGUAACCAGAUUCUGCCUUUUAUGUAUUUUUUGUGUUUGGAGCGGAUCACCGCUUCAGUGCUUUAUUCUUCUCUCAUGUUUGUUACGUUGCCUUUAAUUUACCGACAGGAAACGUCACAGCGCUUAGCGCUGGUUUACGGGUCACCUGUGGUGAGAUUAUUGCUCUGAAACAAGUGCCUCUUCUAAGGAAACAGGAAACAUUGGGCCACUUAAAAAAAAACCACAGGCAGCCGGAUGGAGCUCAGUGAACAGAGACGUGUGCGUUUGAGGUGUAAAUGUAUUAAAAAGUGUUUUUUGGAUAAAUGGAAACUUUUGUGUGUUUUUUUGGGUUAAAAGGAGUUCAGAUUAAACUUUAGAAAGGAGGGUUUGGUUUUUCCCUCCAGGGCUUCCGUAGAAACUUGACGGACUCCGUGGAGCCUGAAUCCUUCAAAACGAACAAAAACACAAGAAUGAUUCUUAGAUUCUGGUGAUGGAUCAUCAUCUGCCGGUGGAGUCAGGAACCCCCGAAACUCCGAGCAUCCCCUCAUUCAGGUGUGGUCAGGGUCUGACGGCCUGAAGGCCUUCAUAAGGGCCAUAAGAGACACACCGUUGGGGUGGGGGGGGAG